CUGGGGAACGUAACACUAUUCUACACAUUUUGCCAUGAGGCUGAGAGAAAAUGUUUUUAUUUUAAACUAAUUACCGCAAAAUUAUUAGUGUGUUGACUGUUAAAGUCACUGGAUUAUGAGAUUUCUUGUUUGCUAUAUGAACAAGUGAAAUACACAGUGACACAUGCCUCAAUGCUGUCAUAUUCCUGGCUUAUUGGGGGUGUGGCUUUCAGUUAGUUAUUUUUGGCAAGGAUAAUGUAGCUAUCAUACAGAACUACUACACAUCCUGUUGCAAGCUUUGACGUAUUCACUCAAGGCGCAGGCUAAUCUUAGGUCUCUCCGUUGAUCAGAAGCAAGGAGGGUUCUGUGCUAUGUACCGGAUUGCAACCACCACUCCGAUAAGCACACGUGUAUUUUCUCAUUUUUCGAACUCGGUUCAAGGAGACAUGCCAUUCCACUGAACCUGCCACAGAGAAGGUGUUUUAGCUACUGAAGAUCCUCCUCUGUUGGCUCUCGGGACAGAGGGUUGAAGUCUUCGGCUGGGUACAGGUCCUCCACUGACUGCACCUGGUUGGUCACGGCUGGCUUCCUCCACUCACAUUCCACAUCCGUAUGGCCGAAAUUGUGAACUGCCAAAAUAGGCUGCAUGGCUACACUUAUGAGCUCCACGGAGGCAUUUGCAUGUGGUAUAGAGAAUCCCCUGGUGACCUAAAGAGACCUGCCAAGAGGAAGGAUGUUAAGUGACACAUAUCUUUCAAUUCAUGACUUUGAACACCUUGAAAUGCAAUUGUUAAAAGAAAUGUGCUAUAUUGAUGUCUGACAUUACUGCUAUAGGGGACAAGUGCAGUUUUUCAAUAAACUUAAUUUAUAACUUGGGAUUUUAUCACUCAUAUAGGGGGAAGGAUCCUAUAAAUGAAGGCUAUGUGAAUGGAUUUACCAGUCCGAAUAAAUAAAUACUGUGCUUUUGAAGAUUUCUCUCUGGUCAUGAAACUACAAUACAGGCUAGAUGUCUAAACAAAGUCAAUUCUGAAUGUCAUUAGAUUUUUAGAUUCAUUCUCAUCAAUGACAACAUUCUAGAACUGUUAUCACUGAAGUCUGGUAUCCGGGGUGAUCUAGUUAUUGAUUAUAUAAUUAAUCUCUUGUAGAAUGUUGACAGCUGUAUAGAACGCUUUGUAUUGCUAAGAUGCUCAAACUUAACUUAAUAGCUACACUCACCGACACAGGAUAAACGUUAUCCCUCACGAUGGCCCUGAUCAAACUGGUAAGUUGCCACUAAACUAUAGCUGUACUUAUCCAGAAUCCAAGACUUAUAGUGGUCUUCUCCCCUUUUUAAUGCUCUUAUGCUCAUCCUUGAAGAAAAUGCCAUAAGGUCUGAAAUAGACAUACUUUACAAACAAUUACCUAGGCUAAGUAAUCCAAAAUUAUUUUUUGAUCUACUGACUAAGACAGAGAAAGGAGAUGAAAGAUGUUCAAUACUUUAUUCACUUCAUUUCAAUGCAGCACAUGGAUUCAUCGUGGAUUCGGCACAGCUCUCUGAUCGCACUGGUGAACGGUAGCUGACAGUGCUGGCUAGAGAUGACAUGCAGGAGCAUCCUGCAGAAAUGUGUGGUCUUGCAGAGGUCUUCUCUGUUGCUAAUUAGCAUUUAACAUUUUUUAGUGUAAAUUGGGGCUAAUAUAUUAAUAAAACUCACCUUGUCUGAGAGAGAAUAACACGGUUAUCAUGACAUCACACCAAGGUAAGCCUACACAAAACACAUACUUAAUUUGAAGUGUUUGUAAAAUUCACUAUGUGAAAAAUGAAUGGUGGAAAGAUGAUUGGAACCAUUUCCGUGUUUGACCGCUAGGUUUUAUGGGUAUUAUGACAUGUCCACUGUGGAGCUCUUAUAGAGCUGUUCUGAUCUCUGAACCUCUUCUAAACAGAUGUAGUGUCACCAGUGAAUUGUGCAAUGAUGAUGUGAUAUGUUUAUAUAUAUAUACAGUAACUUCACUCAAAAAUUUUGGCAAAUUGGAAAUUAUUUACUUUAUUCACACUUUUUAGUUUUGGUUUGGGUAGCAACACACAUCACAUGCGGAAGCACAUGCCUCCCAGGCAGUAGUUUGGUUAGACCCGAUUCAGUGAUUAAGAUUCCACAUAACUAUGAUUGCAUUUAGAUCUCAUGAAAUAUGUUAGAAAUACAGUCUAGAAGCAAAGAAACAUCUAAGCACUUUAUAAAGGCACAGAUGAUUAAAAGCAGAAUCUGAUUAAUAGAGCCAUGAUUGGAUUUUUGUAAUUAUCAUAACCUAUUGUCAAAUAUGAUCAUGUAUAAUAUUUGAAUGGUCAUUAUUUUAAUUGAAGAGCUGAUUCAAAUAGAUUGCCAAUACAAGUAAUUACUUGAUUCGUUUCAUCUUAAUAUACAGUAUAUAUCCCAUAUUGUAGACUCAAUUAAAGUGUAACAUACUGUUUCGAAUAUGUACCAUUUUGAACAUACACAUACAUCGCAUAUGUAAUAAUUAAGCAAUAAGGCCCGAGGGGCUGUGGUAUAUGGCCAAUACACCACGGCUGAGGACUGUUCUUAGGCACGACGGGGCUCAAAGUGCCUGGAUACUUCCCUUAGCCGUGGUGUUUUGACCAUAUACUGUAUCACAAACCCCAGAGGUGCCUUAUUGCUAUUAUAAACGGUUUACCAACAUAUACUGAACAAAAAUAUAAAUG
Molecule: long non-coding RNA, 2671 nt
Organism: Salvelinus sp. IW2-2015
Lineage: Eukaryota; Metazoa; Chordata; Actinopteri; Salmoniformes; Salmonidae
Source: RefSeq, a predicted model, not a curated record